UACGUAGGGUGCGAGCGUUGUCCGGAAUUACUGGGCGUAAAGCGUGCGUAGGCGGUUUCUUAAGUCUGCUGUGAAAUCCCCGGGCUCAACCUGGGAAUGGCAGUGGAUACUGGGAGGCUAGAGUGUGUCAGAGGAUGGUGGAAUUCCCGGUGUAGCGGUGAAAUGCGUAGAGAUCGGGAGGAACAUCAGUGGCGAAGGCGGCCAUCUGGGACAACACUGACGCUGAGGCACGAAAGCGUGGGGAGCAAACAGG
This 253-nucleotide ribosomal RNA is filed under the name uncultured bacterium. RNAcentral describes it as "partial 16S ribosomal RNA". It matches the Rfam family "Bacterial small subunit ribosomal RNA", at positions 524 to 776 of the family's 1533-position model. The record is from RNAcentral.